UUAACCCAUCCUCAAACCCAAAACCUAAAAUUAACCUAGCCCAACAUCCAAGCCCAAUCCCAAAACCCUAAACUCCCACUUGCCUCUUCCCACUCUCCCAUGCUGUCUGCCACCAGCACCACUCCCACUCUCCCAUGCUGUCUGCCACCAGCACCAUCACACACCCCCAUACCGUCUACCACCACCAUGCCUUUGCCGCACCUGCAAACAAGCAAAGGAAAAGGACAAAAAAUGGAGCAAUAAACAUUAACA
Molecule: long non-coding RNA, 252 nt
Filed under: Gossypium barbadense (sea-island cotton)
Lineage: Eukaryota; Viridiplantae; Streptophyta; Magnoliopsida; Malvales; Malvaceae
Description: long non-coding RNA (GBAR_LNC020587)
Source: RNAcentral